This 331-nucleotide long non-coding RNA is filed under the name Populus tremula. RNAcentral's name for it is "long non-coding RNA (PTRE_LNC002113)". Lineage: Eukaryota; Viridiplantae; Streptophyta; Magnoliopsida; Malpighiales; Salicaceae. The record is from RNAcentral.
CCAGCACUCCAAAUAUGAACACGCUUAAAAAACUAAUACUUUGAAAAUUAUUUAAAAUUAAAAAAAUAAUCAUUCAAGGUUUAAAAAUGACCUUCAGUAACUACUCGAGAUGGCCAAAAGCUGUCGAAAGUGAACUGGGUAGAGGUGGCAGAUGAGAAUGACACGGGGGUAGUGGAUAGACGUGUGGAGACAGCAGCGCAUUGGCUGCACACACCGAUAAGGAUGAGAUCCUUAAACCAGUUGAAUCGAGUUCGCUCGCUCCUCCUCUUCCAUUCUACACUGACAAUGAACUUCACCGUCGCUCGAGGAGGGAGAUAGAUGCCAGGAAAAC